Molecule: long non-coding RNA, 2510 nt
Organism: Salvelinus fontinalis (brook trout)
Lineage: Eukaryota; Metazoa; Chordata; Actinopteri; Salmoniformes; Salmonidae
Exons: 5
Source: RefSeq, a predicted model, not a curated record
GAUGGCACCUGUAUCUUUAUUGGAACUCUACUUGUCCCUUUCGAAGUCUAACCUUACCUGUCUCGUUUCUGUAAGUAUAACUACCUGUCUAUCAUCAAGGCCGAGCUUAGUGACCUACAAUCCACCAUCAUCAACUUGUUAGACCCCUCCCCUGAUGGAUCUGCUCUGAUCAACAAACUUCGCCAUGUCAACGUACCUACUGUCUGUUUACAGGCUAGAGUACAUGAGGUGAUGUUCCAGUACUUUGAGGACAAAGACAUCCAGAAGGACAAAUCGGGUUUGAUGCAGUGUGUGAUCUGUGUUGCUGAUAAAAUCUUCAAUGUCUUCCUCAAAAUUAUGUCUGAAAAGAAACCACAAACAGUAUUUGCCAAAAUCAUAACUGGAGCUGGACAUCUUUCAAGCUGAAGAUUGAGGCCAGAUUUUGUAUGCUAGCGUACACUCCUUAACAGUUUUACUGGAUGAAAACACAGCAAGAAAAAACAGAUACAGGCAGACUUUGCAGUGCCUCCGUGUGCGACUACCUUGAGCAGCAGUUUGAGGGACUUCGAUGGGAUAAUACCGUGCAGUGAGGCGUAGGGGAUUGUCCGCAGCAGGGCGACCCCCAAUGGAUGGGCACCGAGGGGUGUGGUGCUCCUCCAGCAGCUCUCUCAUGAGGUUCUCUCUAUACUUUUGGUAAUCCACCUUUCCUGUGGCCGACUUGGUUGCUGUAUGGACAGUGGAGAGGACACGGACGUCUCGUUUGUCAUGCCACUUUACUGCCAGUGGUUGACCGUUCUCCUUGAACUCCAGCCACCCCUCUGCUGCAUCCGAAUGCCGGCAUCCCCUUUCUGUGCUGUUGGAGAGCAGAUUCUGGAAGAGUGUGAGACUGCUGUACAAACUGUCUACAUACAAAGUGUGUCCCUUGCUGAGAUGAGGAGCCAGCAUGGUCAUCACCGUGGACCCGGACACCCCAAGCCCCUCAUAAUGUUGAAUGUCAGUGGUGGACCCUGUAUAGACUAUAAUGUCCUGGGCAAAUCCUGUCUUCAAGUCACACAUAUCAAAGAACUUGACCCCAAACCUGUGCCUUUUGGAGAAAAUAUAUUGACGGAACGCCAGCCUACCCUUCCAUAACAUCAGGGACUUUUCUUAUUUUGUGUGACGGGUCAUUUAGGUAGGCAGUAGCAUUGUUGACGAAAUGCAGGCAUCGCAGCAGAAAAGAUGGUGGCAAAGAAGGGUGUUGCAAACAUAGGAUCUGUGAUCCAGUAUUCUCUUAGGGAGUUCUUUACUAUCCCCAUGAGAAAGACUGUCACCAAGAAGGUAUACAUUUCACAAAUUGUGGUUGUCCCCCCCACUCUUGGCUCUCUCUUCUCCUGUAGCUCCAAGGCAUUUGCGAUUGAUCUCUGCUAUGUCUCCCACCAGCUCCUCUGUCAGAAAGAACAGAUGGAAAUGGCAAGGGACUCCAGACUUGGACUCUCCAGACUUGGACUCAUCAAAGCAAACAGCAGGGCCAGGAGGGAUGAAAUGGCUGGCAGCCUUCCAGCUACCACAGAACUCCUGUACUUCAUCCACUGUCGGUAUGCCUCCAUCACCACCAGCAUCUUCAAAGGGACCUGGGACUUCGUCAGUGGACAAGGGGUCAUCAGAUUCAGGGUUCUCAAUGGCUACAAGGGUUGGGGGGCAGCUCCUCACUGUCACUGUCAGAAUCUGAUUCCUGACUUUCAUGCUCAGACUCACUGUCAGAAUUUAUAAAAAUCUCCAUAAUUUCCCCAUUUGUGAAGGAGAUUGCUAAUGCUACAGCUUAGCCUACUAACUACAUAAACAACAACACUGAAUGGCUCAGAGUGGGAGUCAGAGGUUAUGUGAUUGACUGCCGGCACAUCCCUAAACAGUGUUAAAUGCCGACUGUUGCGUCAAUCGAAACUGGACGUUCUAAAUAAGCCCUCUAAUCACACCGGUUUGAGUGUACGUUGUAGAAUGAUCACACCUGUUUGUUGCUCUGUGUGAAAAGGUUAAUACCAAAUGUUGCUUUGGUUUUUAAUUAUUUUACAGCCCGGGAAAAUAUGUGUUAACUGUAGUCAUUUUUGACAUAAAAUAAAUUGUUUAAGAAUUGUGUAUCAAAAUGUAGUGUGUUGAGUUUUGUUUAGGAAAAGGAUAUGUUUGUUUAUAGAAACCCCAUUUUAUUUAGGUUAUUUUGCCACCUGCUGGCCAAUUAAUGUUUCACACUCUAGAACCGCGUAAGGGGUUACCUGGCAAGAUGGCACCAGCUAGUAAUUUACAGCAGGCAAACUAGCUGUUAUAGAUGUCACAAAGAGCUACAGUUUUCAACAGUGUCCUUUUAUUUCAUUUCCUUUCAUUUACCGUUUUUUUGUUGAUCUUUUUAUACUUUUUAAAGUUAGCUUUUACCAUCAUUAUCAUUUGGAAUCUGUUCAAAUAACCUGGUAAACAAUCAAUGCUUUAAUUAUCUAACCUUGGAAAUGUGUGACAAACUGGACUGCAAUCAAUAAAUCUCAAGAUGUUUAUUGGAAUAUAUG